UUUGGAGUUAAUAUUUAAAGACUAGAGCUCUAAUACACUCCAAGACACUCUCUUAUUUCCUUUCAUGGGGUCACUUUACCGUAUUUUCUUGUUUAAAUAAGUUGUAAAUGAUGCAUCUGGCAGAUCCACCUUGAAAACUGAGUUUUUAACCUGUUCAUGUCAUUAUUCAGUACUAGGACUAUGUUCCACAUUGAGGUCUCAUAGAAACAUCUCCAUGCCCAGUUUUCUGCUUGGAUGUCAUUGCUCAGAGACCAUGAAAGCAUGAAACUGGAUACUGUUCCAGCAGUAUGAUAUGGAUGAACUCAUCUGAAGAUCAGGUAGGAGAUGGAGUACAGAAGAACUAACACAUGGUGUGUGGCAGGAAGAGAAGGGAGAGUCUCCUAGCUGAAUGUUGUUCUACACAGGAGAGUCUAUCCUUGCCCUUUUGCUCAUCUGCAUCACCGUGGGGAUGCCAAAGGCAGCCUGUUCAUUCAUGAUCUCCAAGUUGGAAAAGAGAAGAACCAAAUGGAAAUAACUUAGAAACAAGGAAAAUUGGACUAUGGCACCUCCUGGCAUCAGUCAUACCUCUCUGAAGAGUGAAGAGCUGCUCUGAACGUAUACGUUUGGCUGUGAUGUACCAUUUCCAGGUUAGGGACAUGCUUGCAUUGCCUGAUACACUGCAGAGCAUUGAACCUUGCAACCUGGGCUUGUCUUGUUUCUAAACUCACAUUUUUGAAUUAGCAAGCUUUUAUUUGUAUUUAAUAAUACAAAGAGUCACGUUUCCUUUAGUGCAGCAAGCACAGGAGUUCUGUGCACGGGACGCAGAAGUUCUUACAAAGUGUGUGCACGUGUCAGAAUAUCACACUGCAUCUGUGAAUCAGUUGUUGCACGAGCUAAAGCUGAAAGAAAUGCUAUUGCAUCAGCUCGGCAGCAGCACCGUCAGUCACCUUUAGUCAUUCACAUCUUGGGGG
This 950-nucleotide long non-coding RNA is filed under the name Numida meleagris (helmeted guineafowl). RNAcentral describes it as "lncRNA (ENSNMEG00000013338.1)". The record is from RNAcentral. Lineage: Eukaryota; Metazoa; Chordata; Aves; Galliformes; Numididae.